Molecule: ribosomal RNA, 660 nt
Filed under: uncultured bacterium
Lineage: Bacteria
Description: bacterial SSU rRNA
Rfam family: Bacterial small subunit ribosomal RNA
Source: RNAcentral
AGUGGCGGACGGGUGAGUAACGCGUGAGAAUCUGCCUUGGGGUCGGGGACAACCACUGGAAACGGUGGCUAAUACCGGAUAAGCCGAUUGGUGAAAGAUUUAUUGCCCGAAGAGGAGCUCGCGUCUGAUUAGCUAGUUGGUGAGGUAAGAGCUCACCAAGGCAGCGAUCAGUAGCUGGUCUGAGAGGACGAUCAGCCACACUGGGACUGAGACACGGCCCAGACUCCUACGGGAGGCAGCAGUGGGGAAUUUUCCGCAAUGGGCGAAAGCCUGACGGAGCAAGACCGCGUGAGGGAGGAAGGCUCUUGGGUUGUAAACCUCUUUUCUCAGGGAAGAAGCUCUGACGGUACCUGAGGAAUCAGCCUCGGCUAACUCCGUGCCAGCAGCCGCGGUAAUACGGAGGAGGCAAGCGUUAUCCGGAAUUAUUGGGCGUAAAGCGUCCGCAGGUGGCGAUUCAAGUCUGCUGUCAAAGCACGGGGCUUAACUCCGUAAAGGCAGUGGAAACUGAAUAGCUAGAGUGCCGUAGGGGUAGAGGGAAUUCCCGGUGUAGCGGUGAAAUGCGUAGAGAUCGGGAAGAACAUCGGUGGCGAAAGCGCUCUACUGGACGGCAACUGACACUCAGGGACGACAGCUAGGGGAGCGAAUGGGAUUAGAUACCCC